GCUGUGGUGAAGGUAAAAGCCACUGCAGGUGGAGCAGCUUAAUGGGGUAUUAAUUGGAAAGCAGGUGAAGGCAAAUAGGUAGCACAGCAGGUAUGUAAAUAGGCUCGUGGGAAGAAAGGCAUUGAAUUUUAUGCUCUUUAACUAAAAAUAAAGACCUGAUAUUUAGCUUAUCUUUGCUGAAAUCCUACACUGUGAGGGCCCUGACAACCGCCAACAUCAUCAAUGAUUCAUUAUUAUCUCAGCAUCAUCCUGGCUACUUAAUAAGAUCUUCAGCCUCUUCAUUUUUCAUUGUUUCAGCUGAUUCUUUGGCUUUAGAAUGCAUACUUUUUCUUCUCUCUCUAUAUAUAUCAGGGUCAGAACAAUUUUUGUAGAUUGUGUAGAGGAGGUAACAUUUCAGUCUAUUGCCUGCCUUCUGGUGGCAUCCUUUUGUUCUGGCUCAUUGGAGAAACACAGCAUAUGUCCAAUGUGAGUACAGAUAAUAAGACUACCAAGAACACCUACAUCCAAACGUAUAUUGUCCUUCAAACGAGUCACUUUGAGAAGCAAAACAUGUAUUCCACUGCCAUAAUUGGCUCAAAACCUUUUCAAGAAAACCACUUCCCUGGUUAUUUUCGGGGCCAAUUUUUAAGUCACCCAUAUGAAAAAAAUCCUUACAUACAUUCAUCACUUAUUUUCUGCCCCUAAACAUUGCCCAACAUCACCACCUAUUUCAUGACCACAGUUAGUGCUAAAUGACAUUUGGCUUUUAGAAUCCAUCACUGAUACAGAGGUUUGCUGCUGCUCAGACUAUUUCAAAGAACAUGCCUCAGGCUUCUAGAGAAGAAUUCCAUAAAAUGACUGGAGCACUGGCAGCCUCCUUGGGAUAAGUGGCCAGCUUCUCAGAGUGAUGACUUCGCAUGGCACACACUAGAAAUUUCUGAAUUUGGGCAUGCUAGUUUCAAAAUCCAGGCACGUUAUUUUAAGGCUGCCUUUUUGUUUUACUUAUAAUAACUUAGAAAACUAUUGAAAAAAAAACUGCUUAGUAUUUCCCUUCUAGUUAGCCCUCGCUGUGGCGAUAUAUUGGUGGAAAAGUGAGGCAGAACUUGGAUUCUUGGUUACUUGGUUGGCCCACAUUUGUUGUUUUUCUCUGGGGAGAAGUGGCACUGGUUUUGAAGCUGUGCUGAGCACUUUACUGUUGAAAUACCUAAGUAUUAGGGGAGCAGCAGUUUGUACCCCAUACAAUGAACUAAGUUUACACCACCAUGCAGAUCUUUCACUAUAGUUGAAUGCAGCGGAAAUGAAUCCAACUAGGAACCCCGAGGUUCCGGGUUCCAUCCCUGGCCUCGCUCAGUGGGUUAAGGAUCUGGCAUUGCCGUGAGCUGGGGUGUAGGUUGCAGACGCGGCUUGGAUCCUGCGUUGCUGUGGCUGUGGUGCAGGCUGGCAGCUGUAGCUCCGAUUAGACCCGUAGCCCGGAAAC
Molecule: long non-coding RNA, 1456 nt
Filed under: Sus scrofa (pig)
Lineage: Eukaryota; Metazoa; Chordata; Mammalia; Artiodactyla; Suidae
Description: lncRNA (ENSSSCG00040024583.1)
Source: RNAcentral